GCCAGUAUGGCAUAGUGCUUUUAGUGUUGGACUAUGACUCUGGAAACCAGGGUUUGAUUCCCUGCUUGGCCA
Molecule: non-coding RNA, 72 nt
Organism: Phrynosoma platyrhinos (Desert horned lizard)
Lineage: Eukaryota; Metazoa; Chordata; Lepidosauria; Squamata; Phrynosomatidae
Source: the annotation of a GenBank genome assembly